AGUGAACGCUGGCGGCAGGCCUAAUACAUGCAAGUCGAACGGCAGCACAGUGGAGCUUGCUCCAUGGGCGGCGAGUGGCGGACGGGUGAGGAAUACAUGGGAAUCUGCCCAGUCGUGGGGGAUAACGUAGGGAAACUUACGCUAAUACCGCAUGCGCCCUUCGGGGGAAAGCCGGGGACCUUCGGGCCUGGCGCGAUUGGAUGAGCCCAUGUUCGAUUAGCUAGUUGGCGGGGUAAAGGCCCACCAAGGCGACGAUCGAUAGCUGGUCUGAGAGGAUGAUCAGCCACACUGGGACUGAGACACGGCCCAGACUCCUACGGGAGGUAGCAGUAGGGAAUAUUGGACAAUGGGCGCAAGCCUGAUCCAGCCAUGCCGCGUGAGUGAAGAAGGCCCUCGGGUUGUAAAGCUCUUUUGUCCGGGAAGAAAAGCAUCGGGCUAAUACCUCGGUGUUCUGACGGUACCGGAAGAAUAAGCACCGGCUAACUUCGUG
RNAcentral lists this ribosomal RNA (490 nucleotides) under uncultured bacterium. RNAcentral's name for it is "partial 16S ribosomal RNA". It matches the Rfam family "Bacterial small subunit ribosomal RNA", at positions 29 to 507 of the family's 1533-position model. The record is from RNAcentral.